AAACCCUACGAGGUAAUUUUCUUCGACUGUGUACCAACGCCCGUGGUUUUAAGGAACGUGCUUCCGCAAGGAGACUACCAGCACUCACUCAAACAAAUUGCUAUCUACGAUAAUAACCUACGCCCUUCGAUGGUUUACCAAAUAUAGGAGACAAAAACCCUGGUGGGCCCUAUCCUAUUUAGCUGACAUACUGAAUACUUUGACUGUUAAAGGUUGACUUUCCUUACUACUGGAGUUUACUCUUCGACCCUUUCUUACAAUGGGAAUGAGGACGUAUAUUCUUGACUGGAGGACGCCAACUCAUAAUAUAUAAAUAACCUUAAGGGGCAGUGUCCUCGCUGUCAACGUUUUAAGCGAAGCGCACAGAACGGACACGUUACUCGACUCAGAAAAUAAGUGCGAAAAAGAUUACCUGACUAUACAAAGUCAAGGGUUUCCGGACUAUUUUUUUGCCAAGUGCGCUAAGUGCAGCCAGGGAAAUCACUCGAUUGUAUAAAAUAUCAAUUGCACAGUGAGGUCGAACGUUGUCUCCUGCAGUCUUACUAUGGAUGCCUUUCCGUCG
This is a long non-coding RNA of Zophobas morio, 562 nucleotides long. RefSeq lists it as uncharacterized. Lineage: Eukaryota; Metazoa; Arthropoda; Insecta; Coleoptera; Tenebrionidae. The record is from RefSeq and is a predicted model, not a curated record. The transcript is spliced from 3 exons.